RNAcentral lists this ribosomal RNA (675 nucleotides) under uncultured bacterium. RNAcentral describes it as "bacterial SSU rRNA". It matches the Rfam family "Bacterial small subunit ribosomal RNA", at positions 59 to 704 of the family's 1533-position model. The record is from RNAcentral.
GAGUCUGCCUUGAGAUCGGAGUGCUUGCACUCUGUGAAACAAGAUACAGGCUAGCGGCGGACGGGUGAGUAACACGUGGGUAACCUGCCCAAGAGAUCGGGAUAACACCUGGAAACAGAUGCUAAUACCGGAUAAUAACAGAUGAUGCCUAUCAACUGUUUAAAAGAUGGUUCUGCUAUCACUCUUGGAUGGACCUGCGGUGCAUUAGCUAGUUGGUAGGGUAACGGCCUACCAAGGCGAUGAUGCAUAGCCGAGUUGAGAGACUGAUCGGCCACAUUGGGACUGAGACACGGCCCAAACUCCUACGGGAGGCAGCAGUAGGGAAUCUUCCACAAUGGACGCAAGUCUGAUGGAGCAACGCCGCGUGAGUGAAGAAGGGUUUCGGCUCGUAAAGCUCUGUUGUUGGUGAAGAAGGACAGGGGUAGUAACUGACCUUUGUUUGACGGUAAUCAAUUAGAAAGUCACGGCUAACUACGUGCCAGCAGCCGCGGUAAUACGUAGGUGGCAAGCGUUGUCCGGAUUUAUUGGGCGUAAAGCGAGUGCAGGCGGUUCGAUAAGUCUGAUGUGAAAGCCUUCGGCUCAACCGGAGAAUUGCAUCAGAAACUGUCGAGCUUGAGUACAGAAGAGGAGAGUGGAACUCCAUAUGUAGCGGUGAAAUGCGUAGAUAUAUGGAAG